AGAGUUUAAUCCUGGCUCAGGAUGAACGCUGGCGGCGUGCUUAACACAUGCAAGUCGAACGAUCCUUCGGGAUAGUGGCGGACGGGUGAGUAACGCGUGGGAAUCUGCCCUCAGGAGGGGGAUAACGGCUGGAAACGGCCGCUAAUACCCCAUAUGCCGAGAGGUGAAAUGAAUUUCGCCUGAGGAUGAGCCCGCGUCUGAUUAGCUAGUUGGUGGGGUAAAGGCCUACCAAGGCAACGAUCAGUAGCUGGUCUGAGAGGAUGAUCAGCCACACUGGGACUGAGACACGGCCCAGACUCCUACGGGAGGCAGCAGUGGGGAAUUUUCCGCAAUGGGCGAAAGCCUGACGGAGCAACGCCGCGUGAGGGAUGAAGGCCUCUGGGCUGUAAACCUCUUUUCUCAAGGAAGAAGACCUGACGGUACUUGAGGAAUAAGCCACGGCUAAUUCCGUGCCAGCAGCCGCGGUAAUACGGGAGUGGCAAGCGUUAUCCGGAAUUAUUGGGCGUAAAGCGUCCGCAGGCGGCCUUGUAAGUCUGUUGUUAAAGCGUGGAGCUCAACUCCAUUUAAGCAAUGGAAACUACAAGGCUGGAGUGUGGUAGGGGCAGAGGGAAUUCCCGGUGUAGCGGUGAAAUGCGUAGAUAUCGGGAAGAACACCAGUGGCGAAGGCGCUCUGCUGGGCCAUAACUGACGCUCAUGGACGAAAGCCAGGGGAGCGAAAGGGAUUAGAUACCCCUGUAGUCCUGGCCGUAAACAAUGAACACUAGGUGUCGGGGGAAUCGACCCCCUCGGUGUCGUAGCAACGCGUUAAGUGUUCCGCCUGGGGAGUACGCACGCAAGUGUGAAACUCAAAGGAAUUGACGGGGGCCCGCACAAGCGGUGGAGUAUGUGGUUUAAUUCGAUGCAACGCGAAGAACCUUACCAGGGUUUGACAUCCUGCGAACCCCUGAGAAAUCGGGGGGUGCCUUCGGGAGCGCAGAGACAGGUGGUGCAUGGCUGUCGUCAGCUCGUGUCGUGAGAUGUUGGGUUAAGUCCCGCAACGAGCGCAACCCACGUCUUUAGUUGCCAGCAUUCAGUUGGGCACUCUAGAGAGACCGCUGGUGAUAAACCGGAGGAAGGUGUGGAUGACGUCAAGUCAUCAUGCCCCUCACAUCCUGGGCUACACACGUACUACAAUGCUACGGACAAAGGGCAGCAAGCUCGCGAGAGUUAGCAAAUCCCAUAAACCGUGGCUCAGUUCAGAUCGUAGGCUGCAACUCGCCUACGUGAAGGAGGAAUCGCUAGUAAUCGCAGGUCAGCAUACUGCGGUGAAUACGUUCCCGGGCCUUGUACACACCGCCCGUCACACCAUGGAAGUUGGC
This 1358-nucleotide ribosomal RNA is filed under the name metagenome. RNAcentral describes it as "bacterial SSU rRNA". It matches the Rfam family "Bacterial small subunit ribosomal RNA". The record is from RNAcentral.